Molecule: unclassified non-coding RNA, 256 nt
Filed under: Borreliella burgdorferi (Lyme disease spirochete)
Lineage: Bacteria; Pseudomonadati; Spirochaetota; Spirochaetia; Spirochaetales; Borreliaceae
Also listed under: 4 other names
Description: 5S-23S ribosomal RNA intergenic spacer
Source: RNAcentral
CUGCGAGUUCGCGGGAGAGUAGGUUAUUGCCAGGGUUUUUAUUUUUAUACUUUAAACUUUGAUUUUAUUUUUAUGUUUUUUAAAUAUUGGUGUUUUUGAAUGUGUUGUUUAAAUAACAUAAAAAAUAAAAUAUAUAUAUUGACAUGCAUUAAACAAAGAUAUAUAUUAUUUUAUGUUGUAUAAAUAAAUUGGCAAAAUAGAGAUGGAAGAUAAAAAUAUGGUCAAAGUAAUAAGAGUCUAUGGUGAAUGCCUAGGA